GUGCUUAACCAGCAAAAAUAUAUAUAUUUUGACAAUGGCUUGUAUGAAAUGGACCAGGAGCGUUUCUCAUGGUUCUCCUGCUUGUUUAGUGUUUUUUUGUUUCUUCACCAUAAGAUGAAGCUGAUUAAAGAAGCAAGUAGGACUCUACCUUCCUGCCUCACUGUACUCGCUUCUCAUAUACACAAAGAAAACGUAGUUGGACACAGACGUGAGCUCAUAGCACAAGAUGUUAAAAGCUGAGAGAACGGUCCGUAAUCUCAGCCGAGGAAAUGCAUCCAUGACUGCAGAUCCUGAGAGCCCGAGGCAGGCCUUGUGUUUUCACUUCCUCUCACUCCCACGUUUCUCCUCUAAUUCUCUCCCUCCAUUUUUCAUGCCUUUCUCCUUCUCCUCUUUCUUUGAAUAGCACUUUGUUUUAAAAUACUGAGAUUUUUUUUUUUUAAACACAAUUGGGUCCAGAAAAGCAUUAAAAUACAUCGACAUGUAAAUCCGUUUAUGAUCUUAUGGUUAAAGCUUCCUUGUCCUGGAGUCGAAAUAAAAAGUCGCUAGAUGUUCAACUGGA
Long non-coding RNA from Tachysurus fulvidraco (yellow catfish), 559 nucleotides. RefSeq lists it as uncharacterized. The record is from RefSeq and is a predicted model, not a curated record. The transcript has 2 exons. NCBI's taxonomy places the organism in Eukaryota, Metazoa, Chordata, Actinopteri, Siluriformes, Bagridae.